UAACAAGGAUUCCCCUAGUAACGGCGAGUGAAGCGGGAAGAGCUCAAAUUUAAAAUCUGUAAGGUUCAACCUUGCCGAGUUGUAGUUUGAAGAAGUGUUUUCCGCGGCGGCUGCAGUACAAAUCCUUUGGAACAGGGUAUCAGAGAGGGUGAGAAUCCCGUCUUUGACUGCAGACUAGUUGCACUGUGAUACACUUUCUAAGAGUCGAGUUGUUUGGGAAUGCAGCUCAAAAUGGGUGGUAAAUUUCAUCUAAAGCUAAAUAUUGGCAAGAGACCGAUAGCGAACAAGUACCGUGAGGGAAAGAUGAAAAGAACUUUGAAAAGAGAGUUAAAUAGUACGUGAAAUUGUUAAAAGGGAAACGCUUGAAGUCAGUGUUGCCGGCGGAAAAUCAGCUUCAGACUGGAGACUUGCGUGGGUGGAGGGAGUGUUAAAACCCCUUGCCUACGUACAGGAACCUGGAUGGAGUGCACUUUUCAGUCGGCAGGUCAACAUCAAUUUCAGCCGGUGGAAAAAAGCUAGCGGAACGUAGGUUGGAGCAAUCUAACUGUUAUAGCCGCCAGCCAAUACACUGGGUGGGAUUGAGGACAGCAGUGCAGGCCAUUAUGGCGGAAGCUCAGUGUCAUUCUCCGGGGGGCAUGUCAAGACAGCUUGCUGACUUGGUGUGUACACUCUUGGGAACGAUGCGGAUGUACUUCUCCUGCACUAAGGAUGUUGACGAAAUGGCUU
RNAcentral lists this ribosomal RNA (726 nucleotides) under Basidiobolus ranarum. Its description in RNAcentral is "eukaryotic LSU rRNA". It matches the Rfam family "Eukaryotic large subunit ribosomal RNA", at positions 66 to 640 of the family's 3401-position model. Lineage: Eukaryota; Fungi; Basidiobolomycota; Basidiobolomycetes; Basidiobolales; Basidiobolaceae. The record is from RNAcentral.